This 255-nucleotide small RNA is filed under the name Meriones unguiculatus (Mongolian gerbil). RNAcentral's name for it is "7SK RNA (ENSMUGG00000001299.1)". The stretch from base 1 to 182 matches the Rfam family "7SK RNA". Rfam says of the family: 7SK was discovered as an abundant small nuclear RNA in the mid-70s but a possible function has only recently been suggested. Two independent studies have found that 7SK RNA binds the CDK9/cyclin T complex (known as elongation factor P-TEFb). Lineage: Eukaryota; Metazoa; Chordata; Mammalia; Rodentia; Muridae. The record is from RNAcentral.
GUUUUGGGCGAUCUGGCUGCAACAUCUGUCACCCCAUUGAUCGCCAGGGUUGAUUUGGCUGAUCUGGCUGGCUAGGCGGGUGUCCCCUUCCUCCCUCACUGCUGCAUGUGUGUCCCUCCCAAAGCUGUGUGCUCAGAUGAAGAGAAUGACCUUUUCUGUAGCUGUGCUCCCCUGCUAGAACCUCCAAACAUAUCACAAUUCUGAACAUCUAUGUCCCAAAUACAAGAUCACCUACAUUUGUAAAUGAAACAUUUU